UCUUCCGCAGUGGACGAAAGUCUGACGGAGCAACGCCGCGUGAGUGAUGAAGGUUUUCGGAUCGUAAAACUCUGUUGCUAGGGAAGAACAAUUACCGCUCGAAUAGGGCGGCACCUUGACGGUACCUAACCAGAAAGCCACGGCUAACUACGUGCCAGCAGCCGCGGUAAUACGUAGGUGGCAAGCGUUGUCCGGAAUUAUUGGGCGUAAAGCGCGCGCAGGCGGUUUCUUAAGUCUGAUGUGAAAGCCCCCGGCUCAACCGGGGAGGGUCAUUGGAAACUGGGGAACUUGAGUGCAGAAGAGGAGAGUGGAAUUCCAGGUGUGGCGGUGAAAUGCGUAGAGAUCUGGAGGAACACCAGUGGCGAAGGCGACUCUCUGGUCUGUAACUGACGCUGAGGCGCGAAAGCGUGGGGAGCGAACAG
This 422-nucleotide ribosomal RNA is filed under the name uncultured bacterium. RNAcentral's name for it is "bacterial SSU rRNA". It matches the Rfam family "Bacterial small subunit ribosomal RNA", at positions 362 to 775 of the family's 1533-position model. The record is from RNAcentral.